CGGCGGGCUAGCCCGGGAAACUCGGCGUUUCCUGUCACCCGAAACCGUCGAUAGCGGGGGGCGAAGCCUGAAGAAGAAGUUCUGACUAUUGUAUGACCCAAAGGUUCUACUGUGAAACCCCGUCCUAUGGGGCUGGUGUUGGUACAAUGGCUUUCCUGAAGGAAGGUUUUUGUGCCUUAGUCGCGGAAAACGGUUAAGGCCCGGAAGGGAGCAAACCAGCCGUGAACAACUAUCGCUCAUGGGGGCGCGGGGCGGAGGCGAGCCCGUGAUUAAUCGUGCAGUGGAAGGAGCUACGACCGAAGGUGCGCCCGCUA
Molecule: signal recognition particle RNA, 314 nt
Filed under: Candidatus Methanoperedens sp.
Lineage: Archaea; Methanobacteriati; Methanobacteriota; Methanomicrobia; Methanosarcinales; Candidatus Methanoperedentaceae
Description: signal recognition particle sRNA
Rfam family: Archaeal signal recognition particle RNA
Source: RNAcentral